Molecule: ribosomal RNA, 253 nt
Filed under: uncultured bacterium
Lineage: Bacteria
Description: partial 16S ribosomal RNA
Rfam family: Bacterial small subunit ribosomal RNA
Source: RNAcentral
UACGUAGGGGGCAAGCGUUGUCCGGAUUUAUUGGGCGUAAAGAGCGUGUAGGCGGCCAUACAGGUCAGCUGUGAAAACUCGAGGCUCAACCUCGAGACGUCGGUUGAAACCGUAUGGCUAGAGUCCGGAAGAGGAGAGUGGAAUUCCCGGUGUAGCGGUGAAAUGCGCAGAUAUCGGGAAGAACACCCGUGGCGAAGGCGGCUCUCUGGGACGGUACUGACGCUGGGACGCGAAAGCGUGGGGAGCGAACAGG